Molecule: small RNA, 18 nt
Filed under: Arabidopsis thaliana (thale cress)
Lineage: Eukaryota; Viridiplantae; Streptophyta; Magnoliopsida; Brassicales; Brassicaceae
Description: ATSL075500
Source: RNAcentral
AUGGACAUUUUCGGACCA